Oncorhynchus masou masou (cherry salmon) is the source of this 80-nucleotide small nucleolar RNA. NCBI's taxonomy places the organism in Eukaryota, Metazoa, Chordata, Actinopteri, Salmoniformes, Salmonidae. The record is from RefSeq and is a predicted model, not a curated record.
CUAUGAUGAAUACUAAAGUGAAAAUAGCUGGAAUUACCUGCAGAUUGUAUAGUGGUGACAUUUGUUUUUGUUUUUUUAAC